Molecule: ribosomal RNA, 253 nt
Filed under: uncultured prokaryote
Description: partial 16S ribosomal RNA
Rfam family: Bacterial small subunit ribosomal RNA
Source: RNAcentral
ACGGAGGGUGCAAGCGUUAUCCGGAUUCACUGGGUUUAAAGGGUGCGUAGGAGGGCAGGUAAGUCAGUGGUGAAAUCUCCAAGCUUAACUUGGAAACUGCCGUUGAUACUAUCUGUCUUGAAUAUUGUGGAGGUGAGCGGAAUAUGUCAUGUAGCGGUGAAAUGCUUAGAUAUGACAUAGAACACCAAUUGCGAAGGCAGCUCACUACACAAUCAUUGACUCUGAGGCACGAAAGCGUGGGGAUCAAACAGGA